GACGAACGCUGGCGGCGUGCUUAACACAUGCAAGUCGAACGGAAAGGCCCUGCUUUUGUGGGGUGCUCGAGUGGCGAACGGGUGAGUAACACGUGAGUAACCUGCCCUUGACUUUGGGAUAACUUCAGGAAACUGGGGCUAAUACCGGAUAGGAGCUCCUGCUGCAUGGUGGGGGUUGGAAAGUUUCGGCGGUUGGGGAUGGACUCGCGGCUUAUCAGCUUGUUGGUGGGGUAGUGGCUUACCAAGGCUUUGACGGGUAGCCGGCCUGAGAGGGUGACCGGCCACAUUGGGACUGAGAUACGGCCCAGACUCCUACGGGAGGCAGCAGUGGGGAAUAUUGCACAGUGGGCGGAAGCCUGAUGCGGCAACGCCGCGUGCGGGAUGACGGCCUUCGGGUUGUAAACCGCUUUCGCCUGUGACGAAGCGUGAGUGACGGUAAUGGGUAAAGAAGCACCGGCUAACUACGUG
RNAcentral lists this ribosomal RNA (468 nucleotides) under uncultured bacterium. Its description in RNAcentral is "partial 16S ribosomal RNA". It matches the Rfam family "Bacterial small subunit ribosomal RNA", at positions 28 to 507 of the family's 1533-position model. The record is from RNAcentral.